Molecule: unclassified non-coding RNA, 149 nt
Filed under: uncultured Xylariales
Lineage: Eukaryota; Fungi; Ascomycota; Sordariomycetes; Xylariales
Description: sequence contains ITS1
Source: RNAcentral
CAGAGUUGUAAAACUCCCAACCCAUGUGAACAUACCUCUGUUGCCUCGGCGGGCCUACCCGGUAGUUACCCUGUAGUUACCCUGUAGCCCGCCGACGGACCACAAAACUCUGUUUAUACUACAUCUCUGAACAAAAAACAAAUAAGUUA